UCUCUGGUCUUGUGCUGCCGGGGGGAAGAGCUCGGCUCUGCCUGCCCCCGCUCUCUGGCCGAAGGGACGGGAUCUGGUGCCGCUGCUCCGCUGGCUACAGCUUUUCCCUUCUCGGGUCAAGUGUCGCCCGAAGACGCUGGCGCCCCGAGCCGAGAAAUCCCCCGUGGCCCCCGAGGCGGGUCCGUGGCGCCGGGGAGGACGCGGCCGGGAGCUCCGCCGUGCAGGGGCCGCGGCAGCCGCCGUAGCCGCCGUCCCCCGCACACGGCUCCCGUGUUGGCCGGGAACGCCUCUGCUCGGCGUUGAACUCCGGUGUAUUGAAAACCUGUGGAAAUAGAGAUUACUUCCGUCUGCAGCGGGGAACCUGCCCUGAGGGGUGAAGGGAUUAAUUUAUCUGAGGACUUAAAAGGAGACCACUGCAUUUGUAUCCUUGUGUGUGAGGACGGCAGAGAUGCAAGAGAUGGAAAAGCACGUGCAAUUACCAGCCCCUUGAUUCGCAUAUUUGAUUCAUUGUCUGCCUUGGAGCUCUGAGCUGAGACAGCGCUGGGAAUCCACUGGUCACUGCUGUACCUUGGACUUGGGUUUGUCAUUCACGGCAGCAACAAAUGGAUGAAGAGAGAUCGGUGAACGAACCUUCUGCCCUAUCUUGAAAGCUAAGCGUGUCUGUCCGUAGGCAGCUAUUCAACGGAUUUCAGACUCCUCUUCAUUGGGAAUCUAUCCUGAAGUGGAAGGGACCAAGACACGACUGCCCGAAUGUUUUAGCACAACCCACUCUUGCUGCUCCCAACUGGGCUCAACGGCAGCUGCCAAAUGUGCUUACAACUAUGACGGGGUGUUGACAGGCAGGAGCUGCUACCCUCUGCUUACUUCCAGGCUACAAAUGAUCUGUGCUGUUCCCUCCUGCCCUUCCUCCCCAGCCAGUUUUAAAAGCAGAAGAAGGAUCUGCCCUCCCCUCGUGCGUGUGCGUUUGAGUGCUCCUUUCUAAGCAAGGACUCAAAGCUGGAUCUCAGACAUGAUGGUGACCCUCCCCAGGGAGCAGAAGGGACUAGAGAGUAUUGGCUGCACCUUCUGGAGUUACUACCUCCAAGGAUACAGCAGCUUGCAAUCUAGUAGAUCACGGGAAGCAAUGGAGAACAUCCCUCGCUACCGCUGCUUGGACUGUAAGACAGCCUGCAGAGAUGUGUAUUUUCCUGUCACCUGAACCAUGAAGUGUGACAAACUGCAUUCUACUACAGGCAUUUUACACUUAGAAGUUAACAUCUGCUGCCUGCAGCCUUUAGAUAGCGUUGGUGAUCGGUCCCUGCCACUUCAACGGUUUGCAGUGAGUCCUGGCUGGAGUGGCAGAAGGGAGAAAUGUCAGAAAUAAGAUCACAUUCUUCUACAG
Grus americana (Whooping crane) is the source of this 1381-nucleotide long non-coding RNA. RefSeq lists it as uncharacterized. Lineage: Eukaryota; Metazoa; Chordata; Aves; Gruiformes; Gruidae. The record is from RefSeq and is a predicted model, not a curated record. The transcript has 7 exons.